This is a long non-coding RNA of Mercenaria mercenaria, 707 nucleotides long. RefSeq lists it as uncharacterized. Lineage: Eukaryota; Metazoa; Mollusca; Bivalvia; Venerida; Veneridae. The transcript is spliced from 4 exons. The record is from RefSeq and is a predicted model, not a curated record.
AAAAAUCUACAAAAAACAUGGCCGCGGUGUGCAAAUAAUGAGUUGCUUAUUUCAAAACUGUCCUAUUAUUCUUCAGUAAAACUUCUUGUUAAUUUAAGACUCUAAUAACUUGCUUGACAUACCCAUAGGCAAAUAUCUGUUUAUCGGUGUAAUUACACCUUUGAAGAAAAGCGUGAUUCGCACGUUUUAAUUUCAUCAUUCGCCGCCUGAAGAGACAAGAUGGCGGAGCUUGCGAAAUCGAAAAUUGGUACUUCAAAGUCAAUGGUUGAUCAUGAUGACCAUCUUUUAUUUAAUGGAGAAAGAAACCAAUAUUUGCAGCUGGACAGGCUGUCACCACAGUUCAAUGAUUUAGUUAAGACAAUGAAAUAGAAGAACUCAACACUUGCACCAGUGGAAGUACUUCUUAUUGGAUAGAGAACUUUUCAAGGUCAGACAUGAGCUUUUGAAGUUGCAGUUGCUUUCUUGGCGCAUCAUGCUGUCCAGUGGAGUUCAUACCAUAUGCCAGGCCUUUAUACAUGGUCAAAGAAGAUGAAUUUGUUAUUCAAUUUGUGAAAUUUGAUUUAGCGAGGACUUUCAUAUAUGAUGAUUAUAUUCAGCAGAUUAUCUUCAAGUGUGCACUUUAUAGAAUCACAGUUUCUAGGAGGUUUUCAGUUUAAAGUUAGAUUAAUUGAAAAAUAAGGGGAGCUAUCAUACUCACCAUGGUAUCA